Molecule: long non-coding RNA, 625 nt
Organism: Syngnathus acus (greater pipefish)
Lineage: Eukaryota; Metazoa; Chordata; Actinopteri; Syngnathiformes; Syngnathidae
Exons: 3
Source: RefSeq, a predicted model, not a curated record
GUGGAAAAGGCGAGGAAGAAAAUGACGUAAUCUAGUGGUAACGUUGUCUUGACAACCGACCCAGUGAAGGUUAAUCAAGAAGACACAAUGCCAGAGGUGAAAUCGGUGUUCAGAGAAGUUCUGCCGAAGCAAGGCCAACUAUCUAUGGAAGAUGUCCCUACCAUGGUUCUUUGUAAACCCAAACUCCUCCCACUCAAGUCGGUCACACUUGAGAAGCUGGAGAAGAUGCAGAUGGAGGCUCAAGAGGCUGUCAAACAACAAGAACUUGCAAUGAAGGAGCAGUCGCAAUAGAGACCUGCAGCAGAUUCUCUCCAUCAGAGCUAUGAAUGAAAGACGGAUCCAACUUAUUGGAUACACAAACCAGCCAGCAAUGAAAUACAUUUAGAUUGCUUUAUUGACCAGUGGGUGCAUUGGAGGGAUGAUAUCAAAUGAAAUAUUCAUUAUUUACACCUAUGUCUUGUGUUUUUUGAUAACCUGAGUUUAUCUUCAGCUGUCAAUUGUUAUGUAGAUAAUAAUUUUAAAAAAUCUUAUUCUUUAUAGUAGUUUUAAUGAACAAUGGAAGAAACACUUGGUAAAUCAAUUGUACCAGAAUGUGAUUGAUAUAAAAAUAAACACUCUAAGACCA